This 1496-nucleotide ribosomal RNA is filed under the name uncultured bacterium. RNAcentral describes it as "16S ribosomal RNA". It matches the Rfam family "Bacterial small subunit ribosomal RNA". The record is from RNAcentral.
AGUUCGAUUCUGGCUCAGGAUGAACGCUGGCGGCAUGCCUAAUACAUGCAAGUCGAACGGAGUGAAGCCUUCGGGUUUCAUUCAGUGGCGAACGGGUGAGUAAUACGCAGGGAACCUGGCCAUGGCAGGGGGAUACACUCUGGAAACGGAGCAUAAGACCCCAUAGGCAGUAAGGCGGCAUCGCCUUACUGUUAAAGAAAGCUGAAAGGCUUUGGCGAUGGAUGGACCUGCGGUGCAUUAGCUUGUUGGUGAGGCAACGGCUUACCAAGGCGAUGAUGCAUAGCCGGCCUGAGAGGGCGGACGGCCACACUGGGACUGAGACACGGCCCAGACUCCUGCGGGAGGCAGCAGUAGGGAAUUUUCGUCAAUGGGCGCAAGCCUGAACGAGCAAUGCCGCGUGAGUGAGGAAGGUCUUCGGACUGUAAAGCUCUGUUGCCGGGGAAAAAGGGGAAAUGCAGGAAAUGGCAUUUCAUGGAUGGUACCCGGCCAGAAAGCCACGGCUAACUACGUGCCAGCAGCCGCGGUAAUACGUAGGUGGCGAGCGUUAUCCGGAAUGAUUGGGCGUAAAGGGUGCGCAGACGGUCUGUUAAGUCUGAAGGCAAAGGGAUGAGCUCAACUCAUUUAUGAUUCAGAAACUGGCAGACUUGAGGACAGGAGAGGGCGGUGGAACUCCAUGUGUAGCGGUAAAAUGCGCAGAGAUAUGGAAGAACACCAGUGGCGAAGGCGGCCGCCUGGCCUGUGACUGACGCUGAGGCACGAAAGCGUGGGGAGCAAAUAGGAUUAGAUACCCUAGUAGUCCACGCCGUAAACGAUGAGGAGCAGGUGUUGGGAGUGAAAUCUCAGUGCCGAAGCCAACGCAGUGACUCCUCCGCCUGGGGAGUAUGCACGCAAGUGUGAAACUCAAAGGAAUUGACGGGGGCCCGCACAAGCGGUGGAGUAUGUGGUUAAUUCGAAGCAACGCGAAGAACCUUACCAGGUUUUGACAUCGGAUGCGAAGGUGCAGAGAUGCGCUAGAGGCUAUCAUCCAGACAGGUGGUGCAUGGUUGUCGUCAGCUCGUGUCGUGAGAUGUUCAGUUAAGUCUGGCAACGAGCGCAACCCCCGUGGUAUGUUACUAACGCUUAGGGCGAGGACUCAUAUCAGACUGCCGGUGACAAACCGGAGGAAGGCGGGGAUGACGUCAAAUCAUCAUGCCCCUUAUGACCUGGGCUACACACGUACUACAAUGGCGUCUACAGAGGGAAGCGACCCUGAGAAGGGAAGCGAAACCGGAAAAGGGCGUCCCAGUUCGGAUUGAAGUCUGCAACCCGACUUCAUGAAGAUGGAAUCGCUAGUAAUCGCGGAUCAGCAUGCCGCGGUGAAUACGUUCCCGGGCCUUGUACACACCGCCCGUCAAACCAUGGAAGCCGGCAACGCCCGAAGCCGGUGGCAUAACCUUUUAGGAGUGAGCCGUCGAAGGCGGGGCCGAUGACUGGGGUUAAGUCGUAACAAGGUACCC